Molecule: microRNA precursor, 99 nt
Organism: Crocodylus porosus (Australian saltwater crocodile)
Lineage: Eukaryota; Metazoa; Chordata; Crocodylia; Crocodylidae
Source: Ensembl
ACAGAGUGCGAUGUGUGCAUUGCAUUGCGACGGGUUACAUCACUGGUCGUAACAUGAUGUAACCCAACGCAGCAUGAUGUAAGCGUCGUGAUACAUUGG